RNAcentral lists this ribosomal RNA (253 nucleotides) under uncultured bacterium. RNAcentral describes it as "partial 16S ribosomal RNA". It matches the Rfam family "Bacterial small subunit ribosomal RNA", at positions 524 to 776 of the family's 1533-position model. The record is from RNAcentral.
UACGUAGGCAGCAAACGUUGUUCGGAAUUACUGGGCGUAAAGAGUGUGUAGGCGGUUCUGUAAGUUUGGUGUGAAAUCUCCCGGCUUAACUGGGAGGGUGCGCCGAAAACUGCAAGGCUUGAGUGCUGGAGAGGAUAGCGGAAUUCCUGGUGUAGCGGUGAAAUGCGUAGAUAUCAGAAGGAACAUCAGUGGCGAAAGCGGCUUCCUGGACCAGAACUGACGAUCAGGCUCGAAAGCGUGGGGAGCAAACAGG